ACCUCGGUGGUGUAGUGGUAGCACGAGUCCCCUGUUAGAAUGGAAUGCGGGUUCGAUUCCUGCCUAAGGCC
This is a non-coding RNA of Parelaphostrongylus tenuis, 71 nucleotides long. The record is from the annotation of a GenBank genome assembly. NCBI's taxonomy places the organism in Eukaryota, Metazoa, Nematoda, Chromadorea, Rhabditida, Metastrongylidae.